GACGAACGCUGGCGGCGUGCUUAACACAUGCAAGUCGAACGGAAAGGCCCUGCUUGCAGGGUGCUCGAGUGGCGAACGGGUGAGUAACACGUGGGUGAUCUGCCCCUUACUUUGGGAUAAGCCUGGGAAACUGGGUCUAAUACUGGAUAGGACCAUGCUGUAGGUGGUGUGGUGGAAAGAUUUUUUCGGUAAGGGAUGAGCUCGCGGCCUAUCAGCUUGUUGGUGGGGUAAUGGCCUACCAAGGCGUCGACGGGUAGCCGGCCUGAGAGGGUGGACGGCCACAUUGGGACUGAGAUACGGCCCAUACUCCUACGGGAGGCAGCAGUGGGGAAUAUUGCACAAUGGGCGCAAGCCUGAUGCAGCGACGCCGCGUGGGGGAUGACGGCCUUCGGGUUGUAAACUCCUUUCAGCUAUGACGAAUCCCUGUGGGGUGACGGUAGUGGUAGAAGAAGCACCGGCUAACUACGUGCCAGCAGCCGCGGUAAUACGUAGGGUGCGAGCGUUGUCCGGAUUACUGGGCGUAAGAGCUCGUAGGUGGUCUGUCGCGUCAUUUGUGAAAGCCCGGGGCUUACUGCGGGUUGGCAGGUGAUACGGGCAUGACUGGAGUACUGUAGGGGAGACUGGAAUUCCUGGUGUAGCGGUGAAAUGCGCAGAUAUCAGGAGGAACACCGGUGGCGAAGGCGGGUCUCUGGGCAGUAACUGACGCUGAGGAGCGAAAGCAUGGGUAGCGAACAGGAUUAGAUACCCUGGUAGUCCAUGCCGUAAACGGUGGGCGCUAGGUGUGGGUUUCCUCCCACGGGAUCCGUGCCGUAGCUAACGCAUUAAGCGCCCCGCCUGGGGAGUACGGCCGCAAGGCUAAAACUCAAAGGAAUUGACGGGGGCCCGCACAAGCGGCGGAGCAUGUGGAUUAAUUCGAUGCAACGCGAAGAACCUUACCUGGGCUUGACAUGCACUGGAUGCGGCCAGAGAUGGUUGUUCCCUUUGCGGCUGGUGUGCAGGUGGUGCAUGGUUGUCGUCAGCUCGUGUCGUGAGAUGUUGGGUUAAGUCCCGCAACGAGCGCAACCCUUGUCUCGUGUUGCCAGCAUUUGGUUGGGGACUCGCGGGAGACUGCCGGGGUUAACUCGGAGGAAGGUGGGGAUGACGUCAAAUCAUCAUGCCCCUUAUGUCCAGGGCUUCACACAUGCUACAAUGGCUGGUACAGAGAGUUGCGAUACCGUGAGGUGGGGCUAAUCUCGUAAAGCCAGUCUCAGUUCGGAUUGGAGUCUGCAACUCGACUCCAUGAAGUCGGAGUCGCUAGUAAUCGCAGAUCAGCAAUGCUGCGGUGAAUACGUUCCCGGGCCU
Molecule: ribosomal RNA, 1341 nt
Filed under: uncultured bacterium
Lineage: Bacteria
Description: bacterial SSU rRNA
Rfam family: Bacterial small subunit ribosomal RNA
Source: RNAcentral